UACAGCCACAUCAUGUUGAAACACCAGUUCCCGUAUGGUCACCAAAGUUAAGCAAUGUCAAGUCUGAUUAGUACCUUGAUGGGUAACCAAUUGGGGAAUACCAGGUGCUGUAAG
Molecule: non-coding RNA, 114 nt
Organism: Acanthosepion pharaonis
Lineage: Eukaryota; Metazoa; Mollusca; Cephalopoda; Sepiida; Sepiidae
Source: the annotation of a GenBank genome assembly